CUCACAGCAAGGCUUAGCUGGGAUACUUAUGCUUAUUUACAAUGCAAUACUAAUUAGGGUAAACCUAACUAUCUUAAAGAGUCAGGGAGAAAUAUUAAAAA
Aquila chrysaetos chrysaetos is the source of this 101-nucleotide long non-coding RNA. RefSeq lists it as uncharacterized. The transcript is spliced from 3 exons. The record is from RefSeq and is a predicted model, not a curated record. Lineage: Eukaryota; Metazoa; Chordata; Aves; Accipitriformes; Accipitridae.